CGUACUGCCUUCAGCAUCCCACCGUCUUUCGAUGGACACCGCACGUCUCCAUCUCCGUUCUCAAAGUCACGCUCAGGUGCCCCUCGCUUCCUUUCCAAAUCCGUGCACCCUGCUCCUCUUUUGUAAUGCACCUGGUCGCCGAGGAGAGUUCCUCGACGACGUGAUCCGCACACACGACUAGGAGAACUGUCUCCAGGUACACGAGAGGUAAGAAGUGUUUGGGAUUUCAGUUUCUGUUAUUCGAUACCCCUGGUGCUUACAGAUUGUUCCAUUUAUAUCUUACUGGCCAUAAGCCAAAUCUCCAACUACUACUGCCAUAGGCCUAAAAACAUCAACUAGAUUACAAGCAGGACACACCUAGAUAUAGCUCAGAAUUAAUACUAAGCACUUAUCGACUCAGGUGUCACUAGAGAUCACCACACCUGCCCCCUCUUUAGAUUGUGCAUGCCCUCAUGGAGUAAGCUCAGGAAACAUCUUAACCAGCACAUUCCAAUCUUCCCAAGAAGUGGCUUCAUCUUUUUUUGUCCACUGAACCAUCACCUAGGAAAUGGCAUGAUUCCCCUUCUUCACAAGUCGUCGGUCCAAGAUCUUCACCAGCCUCAGUGCUCCUUGCUCCAGAUUUAGUGUUGUUGGUAAUUCAGAGAAAACUGGUCGAUAAUUGGGUGUAAAGGGAUUCAACCGUGAAACAUGGAAAACUAACUGUAUUGAAGCCCCCUCAGGCAACUCCAGCUAUACACUUCACUAUCUUGAAAGGGCCAAAGUACCGAAAAGAAAGCUUAGGACAAGAGCGAAACACAACCGAAUGCUGCACAUAUUGUUGUAACUUGAGUAAGACCAUCUCCCCAACUUGAAAAAUUCGAUCAGUCCUCAAUUUAUCAACCUGUUGUUUCAUUCGAUUUUGAGCUCAGGCCAACUACACUUUCAACAUCUCCAUAUGACGGAAUCGAGCCUCUAGCAUUUCAGACACCUGCACAUCACUAGAAUUAUGCACUGCUAGAGCAGCAGCCACUAAUGGCUCAUAACCAUAUACCACUUUAACAGGAGAACAACCUAGAGAUGUGUGAUAGGAAGUAUUAUACCAAUACUUAGCUAAAGGUAACCAGGCUUUCCACUUAUAAGGUGAAGCAUGCACAAAACACCUCAAAUACAUCUCCAAACACUGGUUAACCCUCUCGGUCUGCCCAUCUAUUUAGGGAUGACAAGCAGUGGACAUCAGCAACUUGGUUUGCAUCAAAGUAAAAAUUUGCUUCCAGAAUGCACUAGUAAACACCUUUUCCCUGUCAGAAACAAUACACAAAGUCAUCCCAUGUAGCUUGCAAAUGUUAUCCACUAUUACUUGAGCCACUUGUUGUGCAGAAAAUGGAUGUUUCAAAGGGAAGAAAUGGGCAUAUUUGGAAAAGCGAUCUACCACCACCAAGAUUGUUGUAUAUCCCUCUGACUUAGGAAAGCCUUCAACAAAAUCCAUAGAGAUAUCUUGCCACACCCCUUUCGAAAUAGAUAAUGGCUGCAACAACCUAGCAGGAUGAACAUGCUUAGCUUUAGCUUUCUAGCAAAUAGCACACUGCUUCACAAAGUUUGUAACAUCCAACUUCAGCCCUUUCCAAUAGAAAGCCUUUUUAACCCUCUAAUAGGUAGGAAGAAUACUAGAAUGGCCUCCCAAUACACUAUCAUGCAACACGGAGAUGAGUUUAGUUCUCAGAGCAGAAUUUUGGCCCACCCAAAUCUGAUCACCACGCCUAAUCAAGCCUUGAUGUAAAGAGAAACCAUGCCGAUCAGGACUUAGGACAACCAGUUUGGUUAACAACUAUUGGGCCUCCUCAUCGGUCACAUAAGAAUUCAAUAUUUCUUGCAACCAUAAAGGUGUCACCUCAGACACAGCAUGCAGAGCUAAAGCAUGUCCCACCUUAGUCAACGCAUCAGCAGCCAAAUUUUCCUUUCCUUGCCUAUACACAAUUUUGAACUGAAGACCCAUCAACUUGGGCAUUGCCUUCCUUUGCAACUCAGACUGCAAUUGUUGUCCUUCUAAGAAACACAAGCUUUUAUGGUCUGUCUUGAUAAUGAAUUCAUUGUGUAGCAAAUAGGUUCUCCAUUUCAAAGCAAUGGUAGCCUCAUCUGUCCAGUGGAACUUGUUUUUUUUGCAAUAGGGUAGUGAAAGGUUUAGCAAUCGCUCCAUAAUUCUUCACAAAUUUCCUAUAAUAGCUAGUGAGACCUAGAAAAGCUCUUAACUCAGUAACAAAAGUGGGCACAUGCCAUUUCCACAUCACAUUAGUUUUACUUGGAUCUGUAGAAACUCCUUCAGCUGCAAUUAUGUGCCCCCAAAUACACCAACUGAGUUUGCACAAAAUGGCACUUAGAUCUCUCGAUAUAAAACUGAUGUUCCCUCAAAACAGUCAACACCUGCCUCAAAUGACUCCAAUGCAAUUCUAAAGAAGGACUGUAUAUGAGGAUAUCAUCUAUGAAAACCAAUGCAAACUUCCUCAAAAAUGGAGCCAAAAUAGAGUUCAUAGCACAUUGAAAAGUUGGAGGGGCACUGGUUAACCCAAAUGGCAUUACCUUAAACUGGUAGUGGCCAUUAUGGGUUUUAAAGGCUAUCUUAUACUCCUCUCCUUCCUUCAUCCUCACCUGAUGGUACCCAACCUUUAAGUCCAAACUAGAGAAAAACUUAGUGCCACUGCCACUCAACUCAUCCAAAAUUUCAUCAAUCAAUGGCAUUAGGAACCUAUUCUUGAUGGUUAAAUCAUUCAACUUCCUAUAGUCAACACAAAACCUCCGCGUACCAUCUUUUUUCUUCACCAAAAGGAUAGGUGAUGCAAAUGGACUCACAUUGGGUUCAAUUAAACCAGCUUCCAGCAGUUUUGCCACCUAUCUCUCAAUUUCAUUUUUUAUGAAAUGGGGAAUAUCGAUAAGGCCUAGAAUUAACCGGAAUAGCUCCAGGCAACAAGGGAACAACAUGAUCAAACACUCUAACAUGUGGUAAAGCUUUAGGGUCUUCAAACACAUCACUAAACUCAGACAAGAGUUCCUGCAGCUGCCAAGAAGGACCAAUGGAACAUUUAAUUGCUGUGCUCUGCAUAUUAAAGUCCACCAGAGCUAAAUCCCAUACAUCAUUCCCUUGAAGCCACUUUGUUAGUUACAACACUAACGAUUCCUCCACUUUCUAAGAAAGAGGUUAUUACACCUUGCAACCUAACUUUAGUCCCCUUAUGCUAGAACUCCAAAGCCUUUUGUUUCCAAUGAUAAAGCAUAGGAUCAUAGUUCUGCAACCAAUCAAAUCCUAAGAUAACAUCAUAUGAACCCAACUCUAGAAUUCUCAUGUCAGUGCUAAAAGAAUGGCCAUUACACCACCAUUCUACUGCAGGUACCAUAGAAUCACUCACCGACUCCUUACCAUUAGCCACCUUUACCUUGACAGCAGGACAACUGAUAGAUGGUAACCCCACUUGCUGCACAAAAGCAGAAUUAAUGAAAGUAGUAGAACUGCAUGUGUCCACCAAUAACAAAAAUGCUUGAUCCUUCACCAAUGCUUGCAAACGAAUAUUCUGCAUACUUUUAGUACCAGAAAUAGCUAGCAUCGACGGUUUACAAGACUCAUCCCCUAGUUGAUCUUCCUGAUCCAACUGCUGUAAAACUUCCUCACUGAGCUCCAAGGACAAAUCCUCAACAGAAAGUGUAUUCAACUGCAUAGGACCUUUUAUUUUACACUUAGCAGCAUGACCUGCAUCAUACUUCUCCCCACAAACAAAACAUAGACCAUGAAUCCUUCUAUAAUCCUUGAGUUUCCUUUUUUUGGAGAGAUCAACACCCCCAUUUAUCUGCUUAUGGUCAGGUCUAUACUGCCCACCUUGUCUGAUGACAGCCCCCCUCGUAGAAGUCGACCUCUACCUUUCUCCAAAACUUCAGAGUGCAACUUUGCCAAUAGCACAACACGAUUCACCGUAGUUGGUACUUGACACAACACUGAGCCCCGAAUAUCAGGUUUGAGGCCCUUCACAAAUUGUUGCCCAAAGAAAAUUUCAUCCAACGUAGGAUUGUGCAUAGCAGUGGAAUAACGUAACCCAACAAACUCCUCUACAUACUCAUCCACUGAACCCGACUACUGCAGAUGAAGCAGGUCAUGCAUAGCUUGGGGGUACUCAUAAGAACCAAAAGUACUCACCACUACAGCAGUAAACUGAUUCCAAUUUCAAAGAGGUUGAUUCAACUUGUAAACCUGCAGCUAUUUCGCUGCCUUGCCUUCCAUAUGCAUAGAGGCUGCCAUCACCCACAACGAUGCCUGAGCAUGAUAGAGAGUAAAGUAAUCCUUGCACUUAGCAAACCAAAUAGAAGGAUGGUCACCCUGAAAGUUGGGAAACCACAAUUUCAUCAUAGAAGCAUUUCCACCACCAUCAUCACGUCCAUGUCGAUGUCCACCUGCACCAUGAUCAUGCAUUGGAUGCCGCCCAUCCUGAUCAAAUUCAUCCAUCUGAUGUGGAGAAGGUACGCCUCCAGAAUCCGAAUAUAGUUCAGAAGAAGGUUCCCCAAACUGGUCCAUCCGCUCAGCCAUCCGUUCCAAAGUCAAGGCUACCACCCUCUUCCAUAUUUCAUCAAUAUGCCGUGCCAUGACAUCCUGAUCCUUCGCCACUUGCUCCGCCAUAGAUGAUGAUAGACUUGCUGACCCAUCAACUGUUGGUGAUUGGUCUCCAACUUUUGCAACCGUCCACUGAUGGAGUCCAGCGCUGCAAACAUCUUAUCCCACCGAGUCUCAUCCGAACGAUUCGUCUCCGCCAUUGCUUCCAAGACGAAGCGCGUCUGCACCGAAGGUCGAGCAGACGGAGCCAUGAUGCCACCCCGACGAACGACGUCCCUGAACCACCCACCAAGCACAGAAAGAUGCCUCCCAGGACAAUGAAUCUGGUACCAGUUGUAAUGCCCCUGGCCGCCGAGGAGAGUUCCUCGCAGACGUGAGCCGCAUACAUGAGUAGGAGAACUGUCUCCAGUACGCGAGAGGAAAAAGGAAGCAGCGAAGAAACCUAUGCAAACAAGGUUAUCCAAGCUGCUAAAGAACCAGGGCUACGUCCUUACCAUAAUCCAUAUCCGAGAGGUAACCUUCUGUGAUGUUAUAAUAAACACCUCCAUAUUAUUCUACAUAGCGAGCCACAACAGAAAUUUUUUUGACAACAUUUUUUCACAUUCUAUUCGAUAUUAAAUUAGUUUAUGAGGUAAAUAAUUCCAAAUUGGUAAAAGAUGAGUUCAACAUUGGCCCAUUCUUCUCACAGCUGCAGGCAUUAGCCAACAGACCUACAUCUUGCAUAUGUAUUUCUCUUGCAUCUACUUACCUCUAUGGAUCUAGCAUAUGGCUGCAUAUAUGACUGAUUAUGACACUGAUAUAUAUGUUUCGAUUUCCGAUGAAAUGUUACCAUAACUUUUUUGUCGGUCAUAUUCAUUGUUGCUAGAAUUCUAGCAGAACAAGCAUGACAAUAAGCUUCGCUGCUGACUCUGCAGAUAUCCACCUGCAAUAUAGUGAUAAAUAAUAGAACAUUUGUGAGAUGUCGUGGUGCCCUAUCAUGCUUUCUUUGCUUUCCUUCAAAUUCUUCCUAUGAUAUGGCUAACAAAAUGAAAUGGUAGAUUCAGGUGACUUCACAACCUUUUGAUGUUUAGGUUAGAACAGUGUGAUGGUCAAGUUGUAAAAAUGGUUGCAAAAAUGCUGAAUACAUGUUGAAGAAAUGGUUGCACAUAUGAUUGAUUCUGGAAGAAAUGAAAUCACUAGAGAGAAGAAAAUAGGCGCUGGAAUGGUAAUAGGAACUUGAAGUUUGUCCUUUUCAGACUUCUACCCAGAAAAUGAUUUUGUUUCGUUUUCCUUGCUUAAUAUUCCUAAAUUUUUGACUGACUAAAUUAGUGCUCUAUUGAACACUGAAUGCUGAAUGACUGACACUGGAUUAUUAUUUCUCGUAGCACAGACUCUCGCGAAGCGCGAACAAUCUACUCGUUCAAAUAAAAACCAAUAUGAUAUGUGGUAACUUCACCUUGGUUUCAUACACCUUUUCAGUUGAACUGAUGAACCCAUGGGCAUGGGCUAUUUUUGCACAUACCUCAAUACUAAUCCAUGCAUAGAUGUUGUUUACACUUCGCAGUGGGAGGCAAUGCAACUCAAUAGGUAACAUAAUUGCAUUUAAAGUUCUGUUCUACCAGUUCUGUGAUGGUAUGGAUGAUUCUAUUUAAGCCUCAAUGUCUCAGCAUUAGUUAUAUUGGUGGAUUCCUCAAAGUAUGAUUGUUCACAUUUAUUCAUUACCAUGGCAGCACCGCUUACAGACAUUUUAAUGAUUGGUGCAGCUGAUUUUGAUCUUACUGGACAUUUAGUGUGGCCAAGGGCAGUCCUGAUGAACAACUAACUAUCUCAACACCCUGAAACUCUUAAGGGAUGUUCAGUAAUCGAGCUACGAUCUGGGAUUGGUUGAAAUGAUCAUUGGAUGAAUUUAUAGAUUUAGAUGCGCAUGAGAUGGGACGAAGAAGCAAUGAAUACCAAGAAUAUUUCUUAUUUGUAGUUAUAUUUCAUUUUGACCUUUAUAGACUUAACUUAUUCUCUAGAAUCGUAUCAAUGUAAAUAUCAAUUGUAUUUUGUGGACAAGUAUUAUGUUUUUUUUACCUUCCUCCAAUCAAUACAAGUACCUAUGAUUACUUAAA
Molecule: RNA transcript, 6660 nt
Organism: Zea mays
Lineage: Eukaryota; Viridiplantae; Streptophyta; Magnoliopsida; Poales; Poaceae
Exons: 3
Source: RefSeq, a predicted model, not a curated record